Long non-coding RNA from Salvia splendens (bonfire salvia), 798 nucleotides. RefSeq lists it as uncharacterized. The transcript is spliced from 2 exons. The record is from RefSeq and is a predicted model, not a curated record. Lineage: Eukaryota; Viridiplantae; Streptophyta; Magnoliopsida; Lamiales; Lamiaceae.
UGUCCUAUUAGAAUUGUCCAAUCUAUCUCUCACCACCAAUCUUCCGUCUCCCUCACUUUUUGUCUCUUUCAAACCAUAGUAUCCCUGUUUUUUCUCUCGGUUCUUUACUAAUCAUCACAAAUUCUCUCUCUUUUGGUGUAGUUGACCAUUCUCCGAAGAAGAUACUGCAAAUCUCAUCAAUUCACGAUCUAUUGCUCUUUAUUCCAAGGUAUGUUGAUUGUGAUUCCAUCCUCGAUUCAGUCGCCGGUUGACGUUUUGAAGACGACGGAGAGCGUUAUGUAAAAGAGCCGCAUUUCUGACCAAGCCACAAGUUGGCUAUUUUUCCUUCCAACAUGAGUUAUCAAAAACAUCAUCCACCACAAGUCCGGCUAUGUAUCCCAGAAUUUCCUUUAUGUUGAAAUGGAGAAUAGCUCCGAAACCCAGUUCAUGAACGGUUUCCUUCUGCCGUGGAGUUAGGCUUUUUAAACAGUUCAAGAACUCGGUUGGGGUCCGUCGACAGUAGAGAUGGUCGACUUUCUUCCCCCUCGGCUUCUUUUUAUCUGCGUCUUCAUGAAAGGUACUCAUCUCGGCCCUUUGCUCAGCCAAUCUCUCCCUGAACUUUUGCGCAAUCACAAUUGGAAGAACAUCAUCCACCGCUUCGUCAAUGUCCAACCUAGGCUGCUUCACUGUUGUCCAAAAAUCAAUAAUGUAUCGCAUUAAUAUUAUAUAAUGCACACUACUAACUGUAUAAUGUACAAAAGGAAGCAAAUAAUGCACGAAUGAAUAUAACAUUAUCUCAACCAUUGACCUUUUACGAAA